AUGCUAAUCCAGUUGCCCAAACUCAGCUACAAAGCAGGGGUCAUGGAGGCUGAGAGAGCCAGCUGCACGGCACCGAGGGUGGAGGGCCAGGGAGCUCCUGUACCAAGCUUGUGCAUAGCAACCCCCAGAAUCUGUGGGAGGGAAGACAACCCUGUGAUUACAGCUGCAGUAGGAAAUCCCUGCAAACGGAUUCUCCUGAUCAGCAGCAAUGACGAAUAUUAUCUCUCAGCAACCACGAAAGUUGUUCACCAUUGAAAAAAAUGAUUAACAACAAUAUAUGGUUCAAAUGUGGCGUAAGGGAAAUAGUGAUUUAAAGCCGACUCGUAAGUGGGAAUCGAAGUCAGCAGCAGGAUUGCAGAUUUCCCUGCUUGCAACCAAGCCGGAAAGAAAAAACUCCCACGUUCAUGAUGGCUUUGAGAAAAGAACAUAAAUCCACUGCCUGGUAAACUCUCAGGUAAGGGAUUGGUCAGCAGAUGCAGAAGCUUUUUUCGCCGGGUCAAUUCCACCGGAGGCAAGACCGUGACCGCAAACGAGAAAGGAUACGCUUGUGAAAGAUGCUUGUUGGCCAAGCCGGUCAUAAUUCAUGCUCCAGCGACACUAUGCCUGGAGGAAGGGGAAUGAAACAUUUAUGAAAAUGGCUCUUUCCCAGCCGCACAUCAUGUUCGUCAAAGGGAAGAAGGCAAAAAAAGCAGGAAUAAUUUCCCGAGAAACACCAGGCUGGUAGUGAUUUGUUUCUUUGUAUCUUUAGGACUAGAUUGCAUGUCUGAGGUUUUGGACAUGAACACACUGAGUGCUUCAUAUCCUUGAUUUUAUUGUUUCACUGCAUCUCAAAACAUCCUCCUGAACUACCCAGGAGUGAACUUGAUCUGCAGAGAGUUGAGGUGUAGCCUGAAGCAUCCCCAUCCGAAGCGAGACAUUUUCUUGCCAUGUCACUUUUAACCCUAAAAAAGAAAAAAAAAAAAAAGAAAAAAAAAAAGAAAAAAAAAAAGAAAAAAAAAAAAAGCAUGCACAGUUUGCAUUCUAUCCCAUGAUAUCCCCACACUUGUAGCAGUAACAAUCAUCUUACUCUCCCAUUGGAAGCCCAAAAUUGAAGACACUCUCCCAGGGUGACACUAAGGCAAUUUAACAUUCUGUCAUUCUUCCUGCCACUCAUUAGGCAUUGUGAGGCCUUCUCUGAGACUCAUGGUAAUUUGAUCCAAGGAGAAGGGCACAGUAGUUCACAACAAAGAGUAGAAUCCAACUUUGGUCAGAAAAU
Molecule: long non-coding RNA, 1255 nt
Filed under: Sus scrofa (pig)
Lineage: Eukaryota; Metazoa; Chordata; Mammalia; Artiodactyla; Suidae
Description: lncRNA (ENSSSCG00065056693.1)
Source: RNAcentral